AGUGAACGCUGGCGGUAGGCCUAACACAUGCAAGUCGAACGGCAGCACAGUAAGAGCUUGCUCUUACGGGUGGCGAGUGGCGGACGGGUGGGGAAUACAUCGGAAUCUACUUUUUCGUGGGGGAUAACGUAGGGAAACUUACGCUAAUACCGCAUACGACCUACGGGUGAAAGCAGGGGAUCUUCGGACCUUGCGCGAUUGAAUGAGCCGAUGUCGGAUUAGCUAGUUGGCGGGGUAAAGGCCCACCAAGGCGACGAUCCGUAGCUGGUCUGAGAGGAUGAUCGCCCACAUUGGAACGAGGACACGUCCCAACCCCUAAGGGGGGGCAGCGUUGGGAAAUAUUGGAAAUUGGGCGAAAGCCUGACCAGGCCAACCCGCGGGGGUGAGGAGGGCCUCCGGGUUGUAAGGCCCUUUGUUUGGAAAGAAAAACAACAGGUUAAUAACCCGCUGUUCUGACGGUACCCAAAGAAUAAGCACCGGCUAACUUCGUG
RNAcentral lists this ribosomal RNA (491 nucleotides) under uncultured bacterium. Its description in RNAcentral is "partial 16S ribosomal RNA". It matches the Rfam family "Bacterial small subunit ribosomal RNA", at positions 29 to 507 of the family's 1533-position model. The record is from RNAcentral.